Molecule: ribosomal RNA, 257 nt
Filed under: uncultured bacterium
Lineage: Bacteria
Description: partial 16S ribosomal RNA
Rfam family: Bacterial small subunit ribosomal RNA
Source: RNAcentral
GACAGAGGGUGCAAACGUUGCUCGGAAUCACUGGGCGUAAAGGGCGCGUAGGCGGGAAUGUAAGUCGGGCGUGAAAUCCCCAGGCUCAACCUGGGAACUGCACUCGAAACUGCGUUUCUUGAGUAUCGGAGAGGAAAGCGGAAUUCCUGGUGUAGAGGUGAAAUUCGUAGAUAUCAGGAGGAACACCAGUGGCGAAGGCGGCUUUCUGGACGGUAACUGACGCUGAGGCGGCGAAAAGCGUUGGGGAGCAAACAGGG